UACGGAGGGGGCUAGCGUUGUUCGGAAUUACUGGGCGUAAAGCGCGCGUAGGCGGACCUGCAAGUCGGGUGUGAAAGCCCGAGGCUCAACCUCGGAACUGCCUUCGAUACUGCGGGUCUCGAGUCCGGGAGAGGAUAGUGGAAUUCCCAGUGUAGAGGUGAAAUUCGUAGAUAUUGGGAAGAACACCGGUGGCGAAGGCGGCUAUCUGGCCCGUAAUUGACGCUGAGGCGCGAAAGCGUGGGGAGCAAACAGG
This 253-nucleotide ribosomal RNA is filed under the name uncultured bacterium. Its description in RNAcentral is "partial 16S ribosomal RNA". It matches the Rfam family "Bacterial small subunit ribosomal RNA", at positions 524 to 776 of the family's 1533-position model. The record is from RNAcentral.